This 506-nucleotide ribosomal RNA is filed under the name uncultured bacterium. RNAcentral describes it as "partial 16S ribosomal RNA". It matches the Rfam family "Bacterial small subunit ribosomal RNA", at positions 30 to 523 of the family's 1533-position model. The record is from RNAcentral.
AUUGAACGCUGGCGGCAGGCCUAACACAUGCAAGUCGAACGGUAACAGGAAACAGCUUGCUGUUUCGCUGACGAGUGGCGGACGGGUGAGUAAUGUCCGGGAAACUGCCUGAUGGAGGGGGAUAACUACUGGAAACGGUAGCUAAUACCGCAUAACGUCGCAAGACCAAAGAGGGGGACCUUCGGGCCUCUUGCCAUCGGAUGUGCCCAGAUGGGAUUAGCUAGUAGGUGGGGUAACGGCUCACCUAGGCGACGAUCCCUAGCUGGUCUGAGAGGAUGACCAGCCACACUGGAACUGAGACACGGUCCAGACUCCUACGGGAGGCAGCAGUGGGGAAUAUUGCACAAUGGGCGCAAGCCUGAUGCAGCCAUGCCGCGUGUAUGAAGAAGGCCUUCGGGUUGUAAAGUACUUUCAGCGGGGAGGAAGGGAGUAAAGUUAAUACCUUUGCUCAUUGACGUUGCCCGCAGAAGAAGCACCGGCUAACUCCGUGCCAGCCGCCGCAGUAA